Molecule: long non-coding RNA, 350 nt
Organism: Nylanderia fulva
Lineage: Eukaryota; Metazoa; Arthropoda; Insecta; Hymenoptera; Formicidae
Source: RefSeq, a predicted model, not a curated record
GUGACCGAGCGCGCGCGACAAUGCCCGAACGCGAAAUGCGUAGAACAAUCAUCUCGUGUAUUUGGGAGUGAGAAUGUUGAUGUUUUAUCUCCUUCUCUCUCUGCACUAUUCUGGAGCAGAUUUCAGAGAAGGAAUAUAUAUUGUCUUUCGAGGAGUAAUUAAACGUAUAAGGAUGGAAAUGACACUUGAUGAGAAAUACAUGGAAUUCUAACAAUGUUCCUUUAUCUACUCUGAACGUGAACCAUUUAUAUGUAAAUAUAUUUCUUUCGGAAGAACGAGAAAGAUGUUUGUGUUAUAUCGAAACUGCACUUUCGCAGAAAAAAAUUCAACGACUAAAUGUUAAUAAAAUC